RNAcentral lists this ribosomal RNA (253 nucleotides) under uncultured bacterium. Its description in RNAcentral is "partial 16S ribosomal RNA". It matches the Rfam family "Bacterial small subunit ribosomal RNA", at positions 524 to 776 of the family's 1533-position model. The record is from RNAcentral.
UACGUAGGGGGCUAGCGUUACUCGGAUUGACUGGGCGUAAAGGGCGCGUAGGCGGCUUGUACAGUCAGACGUGAAAUUCCUGGGCUCAACCUGGGGGCUGCGUUUGAUACGUGCGGGCUUGAGUUCGGAAGAGGGUCGUGGAAUUCCCAGUGUAGAGGUGAAAUUCGUAGAUAUUGGGAAGAACACCGGUGGCGAAGGCGGCGACCUGGUCCGAUACUGACGCUGAGGCGCGAAAGCGUGGGGAGCAAACAGG